GGUAUUUUAUAUCAACGCUCUCCAUAACUGUUUAAAAAAGUUGCUAAUCAUGUUGACCUACGUGUUCCAUUUAUUAACCAAUGAAUGAUGUGUUUGUGUUAUAGCAGGCUUAUGCUGUGUGUUUUUAAUUUUCAGCUUUCGAGCGGGUGGAGGAGUUACCAGAAGUGCGAGCGAUAUAAAAGACAUGCUUCUUCACUGGUGUAAAAGCAAGACCAGAGAAUAUAAUAAUGUGGAAAUAACGAAUUUUUCAACCUCUUGGAAUGAUGGAAUGGCAUUUUGUGCUUUAAUUCACCAUUUCUAUCCAGAUGCAUUCGAGUUUGAGACAUUGAAUCCCAAAAACAGAAGAUAUAAUUUCGAUCUCGCAUUUAGAAUCGCCGAG
Molecule: non-coding RNA, 379 nt
Organism: Parasteatoda tepidariorum (common house spider)
Lineage: Eukaryota; Metazoa; Arthropoda; Arachnida; Araneae; Theridiidae
Source: RefSeq, a predicted model, not a curated record